Molecule: ribosomal RNA, 440 nt
Filed under: uncultured bacterium
Lineage: Bacteria
Description: partial 16S ribosomal RNA
Rfam family: Bacterial small subunit ribosomal RNA
Source: RNAcentral
CCUACGGGAGUCUGCAGUGGGGAAUAUUGCACAAUGGGGGAAACCCUGAUGCAACGACGCCGCGUGAGUGAAGAAGUAAUUCGUUAUGUAAAGCUCUAUCAGCAGGGAAGACAAUGACGGUCCCUGAGGAAGAAGCCCCGGCUAACUACGUGCCAGCAGCCGCGGUAAAACGUAUGGGGCCAGCGUUAUCCGGAUUUACUGGGUGUAACGGGAGCGUAGACGGCAGUGCACGUCUGGAUUGAAAGGCGGGGGCUCAACCCCCGGACUGCUCUGGAAACUGUACGGCUGGAGUGCAGGAGAGGGAAGUGGAAUUCCUAGUGUAGCGGUGAAAUGCGUAGAUAUUAGGAGGAACACCAGUGGCGAAGGCGGCUUACUGGACUGUAACUGACGUUGAGGCUCGAAAGCGUGGGGAGCAAACAGGAUUAGAUACCCGGGUAGUC